GAUAAACGCUAGCGGCAGGCUUAACACAUGCAAGUCGAGGGGCAGCAUAGAUUGUAGCAAUACAAUUGGUGGCGACCGGAGCACGGGUGCGUAACGCGUAUGCAACCUACCCGUCACAGGGGGAUAAUCCGGAGAAAUCUGGUCUAAUACCCCAUAACAUAUGGAUCGGCAUCGGUUCAUGUUGAAAUUUUCGGAGGUGACGGAUGGGCAUGCGUAGCAUUAGCUUGUUGGUGAGGUAACGGCUCACCAAGGCGACGAUGCUUAGGGGGACUGAGAGGUUUUCCCCCCCACACUGGUACUGCGAAACGGACCAGACUCCUACGGGAGGCAGCAGUGAGGAAUAUUGGUCAAUGGGCGCAAGCCUGAACCAGCCAUGCCGCGUGCAGGAUGACGGCUCUAUGAGUUGUAAACUGCUUUUGUACGAGGGUAAAGUGGGUUACGUGUAACCUUUUGAAAGUAUCGUACGAAUAAGGAUCGGCUAACUCCGUGCCAGCAGCCGCGGUAA
This 505-nucleotide ribosomal RNA is filed under the name uncultured bacterium. RNAcentral's name for it is "partial 16S ribosomal RNA". It matches the Rfam family "Bacterial small subunit ribosomal RNA", at positions 28 to 523 of the family's 1533-position model. The record is from RNAcentral.